GACGAACGCUGGCGGCGUGCUUAACACAUGCAAGUCGAACGGAAAGGCCUGCUUUCCCUUGUGGAUUGCGGGUACUCGAGUGGCGAACGGGUGAGUAACACGUGAGUGAUCUGCCCCCAACUUGGGUAUAAGCCUGGGAAACUGGGUCUAAUUCCCGAUAGGACUGCAGGGUGGUGCCUGUGGUGGAAAACGAUGUGCUAGUGGUUGGGGAUGAGCUCGCGGCCUAUCAGCGGGUUGGUGGGGUAAGGGCCUACCAAGGCGACGACGGGUAGCGGGUGUGGGAGUGUGAGCGGGCACGGUGGAAUUGGGACACAGUCCAGACUCCGACUGGUGCGGGCGGUGGGGGUGGGGGAACUUGGGCAGUGAGCGGGAGCCUGCUGCAGCGCGGGGGUGUGGAGGGUCAUGGCGUUCGGGUUGUCUUCUCCUUUCGAACGAGAGGAGGACGCCUGGUUGGAAGGGUGGUGACGGUAGUGGUAGAAGAAGCACCGGCUAACUACGUG
Molecule: ribosomal RNA, 500 nt
Filed under: uncultured bacterium
Lineage: Bacteria
Description: partial 16S ribosomal RNA
Rfam family: Bacterial small subunit ribosomal RNA
Source: RNAcentral